Molecule: transfer RNA, 66 nt
Filed under: Stichophthalma camadeva
Lineage: Eukaryota; Metazoa; Arthropoda; Insecta; Lepidoptera; Nymphalidae
Description: tRNA-His
Source: RNAcentral
AUUUAAAUAAUUUAAUUAAAAUAUUGAUUUGUGGGGUCGAAAAUAUGAUAAGUAUCAUUUUAAAUU